UCAAGUUAUUAAGGGUGCAGGGCGGAUGCCUUGGCACUAGGAGCCGAUGAAGGACGUGAUAAGCUGCGAUAAGCUUCGGGGAGUUGCACGUAAACUUUGAUCCGAAGAUUUCCGAAUGAGGAAACUCACUUAGAGUAAUGUCUAAGUAUCAUUAAGUGAAUACAUAGCUUAAUGAGGGGAACUCAGGGAACUGAAACAUCUAAGUACCUGAAGGAAGAGAAAGAAAUUCGAUUCCGUAAGUAGCGGCGAGCGAACGCGGAUUAGCCCAAACCAAUAAAGUUUUCUUUAUUGGGGUUGAGGACAUACCACAUAUAAGAGGUCAUUAUAGACGAAGAAGUUUGGAAAAACUCAUCAUAGAAGGUAAUAAUCCUGUAGUCAAAAUAAUAAUUCUUUAGGUAUGAUCCAGAGUACCACGGGACACGUGAAACCCUGUGGGAAGCAGGAGGGACCACCCUCCAAGGCUAAAUACUACCUAGUGACCGAUAGCGUAUAGUACCGUGAGGGAAAGGUGAAAAGAACCCCGGGAGGGGAGUGAAAUAGAACCUGAAACCCUGCACUUACAAGCUGUGGAAGCACAUUUCUUGUGUGACCGCGUACUUUUUGUAGAACGGGCCAACGAGUUACGUUAAGUAGCAAGGUUAAGCACUUAAGGUGUGGAGCCGUAGCGAAAGCGAGUUUUAACUGAGCGUUCAGUUACUUGACGUAGACCCGAAACCGGGCGACCUACCCAUGAGCAGGAUGAAGCGAAAGUAAAAUUUCGUGGAGGUCCGAACCCACGAGCGUUGAAAAGCUCGGGGAUGACUUGUGGGUAGCGGUGAAAUUCCAAUCGAGCCCGGAGAUAGCUGGUUCUCCCCGAAAUAGCUUUAGGGCUAGCCUCAAGGUGAGAGAUACGGAGGUAGAGCACUGAAUGUCCUAGGGGGUAUUGCACCUACCGAAGACUAUCAAACUCCGAAUGCCGUCAUCUUAUACUUGGGAGUCAGACUGUGGGUGAUAAGAUUCAUAGUCGAAAGGGCAACAGCCCAGAUCGUCAGCUAAGGUCCCUAAAUGUAAGUUAAGUGGUAAAGGAUGUGGGAUUGCACAGACAACCAGGAUGUUGGCUUAGAAGCAGCCACUCAUUCAAAGAGUGCGUAAUAGCUCACUGGUCGAGUGAUCCUGCGCCGAAGAUUUCCGGGGCUAAAACUUACUACCGAAGCUACGGCAUCAGUAAUGAUGGGUAGGGGAGCUUCCCAUACGGGUUGAAGCAUGACCGUAAGGACAUGUGGACAGUAUGGGAGUGAGAAUGUUGGCAUGAGUAGCGAGAUGUGGGUGAGAAUCCCACAGGCCGUAAACCCAAGGUUUCCAGGGGAAGGUUCGUCCGCCCUGGGUUAGUCGGGACCUAAGCUGAGGCCGAAAGGCGUAGGUGAUGGACAACAGGUUGAUAUUCCUGUACUACCGAUAACCGUUUGAGAGAAGGGAUGACACAGUAGGAUAAGCUAAGCACACUGUUGGUUAUGUGUGCCCAAGCAUUGAGGCAGUCAAAGUAGGCAAAUCCGCUUUGAUAAUGCUGGGAUGUGAUGGGGAGCGAAAUUUAGUAGCGAAGUAGCUGAUUUCACACUGUCAAGAAAAGUCUCUAUCGAGGUUAAAGGUACCCGUACCGCAAACCGACACAGGUGGGUGAGGAGAGUAUCCUAAGGCCAGCGAGAGAACUGUUGUUAAGGAACUCGGCAAAAUGACCCCGUAACUUAGGGAUAAGGGGUGCCACCAUCAGGUGGCCGCAGAGAAUAGGCCCAAGCGACUGUUUACCAAAAACAUAGGUUUCUGCUAAGUCGCAAGACGAUGUAUAGGAGCUGACGCCUGCCCGGUGCUGGAAGGUUAAGGGGAUCUGUUAGAGCAAUCGAAGCAGUGAACUUAAGCCCCAGUAAACGGCGGCCGUAACUAUAACGGUCCUAAGGUAGCGAAAUUCCUUGUCGGGUAAGUUCCGACCCGCACGAAAGGCGUAACGAUUUGGGCACUGUCUCAACAACAGACUCGGUGAAAUUGUAAUUCCGGUGAAGAUGCCGGAUACCUGCGACAGGACGGAAAGACCCCAUGGAGCUUUACUGUAGCUUGACAUUGGGUCUUGGUACUACAUGUACAGGAUAGGUGGGAGGCUUUGAAACCAGGACGCCAGUUUUGGCGGAGCCAUCCUUGGGAUACCACCCUUGUAGUACUGGGACUCUAACCAUAGGCCAUGAAUCUGGUCUUGGGACACUGUCAGGUGGGCAGUUUGACUGGGGCGGUCGCCUCCCAAAAGGUAACGGAGGCGCUCAAAGGUUCUCUCAGUACGGUCGGAAAUCGUACGUAGAGUGUAAAGGCAAAAGAGAGCUUGAUUGCAAGACAUACAGGUCGAGCAAGGAUGAAAAUCGGACUUAGUGAUCCGGUGGUUCUGCGUGGAAGGGCCAUCGCUCAACGGAUAAAAGCUACCCUGGGGAUAACAGGCUUAUCUCCCCCAAGAGUCCACAUCGACGGGGAGGUUUGGCACCUCGAUGUCGGCUCAUCACAUCCUGGGGCUGUAGUAGGUCCCAAGGGUUGGGCUGUUCGCCCAUUAAAGUGGUACGCGAGCUGGGUUCAGAACGUCGUGAGACAGUUCGGUCCCUAUCCGUCGCAGGCGUAGGAAAUUUGAGAAGACCUGUCCUUAGUACGAGAGGACCGGGAUGGACGUACCUCUGGUGUACCAGUUGUCCUGCCAAGGGCAUGGCUGGGUAGCUAUGUACGGAAUGGAUAAGCGCUGAAAGCAUCUAAGCGCGAAGCCAACUUCAAGAUAAGAUUUCCCACCGCAAGGGUAAGACCCCAGAAAGACUAUCUGGUUGAUAGGUCGAAGGUGUAAGUGCAGCAAUGUAUUUAGCUUAUCGAUACUAAUAGGUCGAGGACUUGACCAA
RNAcentral lists this ribosomal RNA (2897 nucleotides) under Clostridioides difficile. RNAcentral describes it as "bacterial LSU rRNA". It matches the Rfam family "Bacterial large subunit ribosomal RNA". The record is from RNAcentral. Lineage: Bacteria; Bacillati; Bacillota; Clostridia; Peptostreptococcales; Peptostreptococcaceae.